UCAGCUUGGAAUGGACGUAAUUUAAGCAAUUCGAUGAGUAACUACUGGAGGGCAAGUCCUGGUGCCAGCAGCCGCGGUAAUUCCAGCUCCAGUGGCGUGAUUUAAAGUUGCUGCGUUUAAAACGCUCGUAGUUGGAUCAUGCGGUGACAGCUUGUAGUCUAUUGCGAACAUUUGGCUGAUUCAGCUGAUGUUGGCAUUAGAUAGCAACGCAAACUGUUACUAUUUAAUCGCAAGUAUGUUGAUUGACCUUUACUGAGUUGAUGAUCAUAUUGUGCGGAGUUGUGCCUUGAAUAAAACAGAGUGCUCAAAGCAGGCGAACGCUUGAAUGUUGUAGCAUGGAACGAACAAACGUGUAUUCGCAUGCAUCGUGCGAGGUGGAUGUGCUUCUGGUGCGUUUGCCUUGUUGAUGUAUGCAUCACCCGCCAAAGUACGAUUGUUGGUUAUCGUAUAAGGUGAUGAUUAAAAGGAGCGGUUGGGGGCAUUGGUAUUUGGACGCGAGAGGUGAAAUUCAAAGACCGUCCAAGGACUAACAAAUGCGAAGGCAUCUGUCCAGACCGUAUCCAUUAAUCAAGAACGAAAGUGGGAGGUUCGAAGACGAUUAGAUACCGUCGUAGUUCCCACCGUAAACUAUGCCGACUAGGGAUCAGCUUGGUGAUAAUGCAAGCAUCAAGUUGGUCUCCAAGGGAAACCAUAAGUUUUUCGGUUACGGGGAGAGUAUGGUCGCAAGUCUGAAAUUUAAAGGAAUUGACGGAAGGGCACCACCAGGGGUGGAACCUGCGGCUUAAUUUGACUCAACACGGGGAAACUUACAUGGUCCAGACAUCGAUAGGAUAAACAGACUGAUA
RNAcentral lists this ribosomal RNA (845 nucleotides) under Myxobolus kingchowensis. Its description in RNAcentral is "SSU rRNA". It matches the Rfam family "Eukaryotic small subunit ribosomal RNA", at positions 504 to 1253 of the family's 1831-position model. The record is from RNAcentral. Lineage: Eukaryota; Metazoa; Cnidaria; Myxozoa; Bivalvulida; Myxobolidae.